ACGGCGAGUGAAGCGGCAACAGCUCAAAUUUGAAAUCUGGCGCCUCCGGCGUCCGAGUUGUAAUUUGUAGAGGAUGCUAUUGGGUUGCCACCGGUCUAAGUUCCUUGGAACAGGACGUCACAGAGGGUGAGAAUCCCGUAUGUGACCGGCCAGGCGCCCUCCGUAUAGCUCCUUCGACGAGUCGGGUUGUUUGGGAAUGCAGCCCUAAAUGGGAGGUAAAUUUCUUCUAAAGCUAAAUACCGGCCAGAGACCGAUAGCGCACAAGUAGAGUGAUCGAAAGAUGAAAAGCACUUUGGAAAGAGAGUUAAAAAGCACGUGAAAUUGUUGAAAGGGAAGCGCUUGCAAUCAGUCUCGACGGCGGCUGUUCGGCCUCUCUUCUGAGUGGUUUAUUCAGUCGCCGCCGGGCCAGCAUCAGUUUCGGCGGUCGGACAAAGGCGCGGGGAAUGUAGCUCCCUCGGGAGUGUUAUAGCCCCGCGUGCAAUACGGCCCGCCGGGACUGAGGUCCGCGCUCCGGCUAGGAUGCUGGCGAAAUGGUUGUAAGCGGCCCGUCUUGAAACACGGACCAAGGAGUCUAACAUCUACGCGAGUGUUUGGGUGUCAAACCCGUGCGCGCAAUGAAAGUGAACGGAGGUGGGAACCGCAAGGUGCACCAUCGACCGAUCCUGAUGUCUUCGGAUGGAUUUGAGUAAGAGCGUAGCUGUUGGGACCCGAAAGAUGGUGAACUAUGCCUGAAU
This 734-nucleotide ribosomal RNA is filed under the name Elsinoe perseae. RNAcentral describes it as "partial large subunit ribosomal RNA". It matches the Rfam family "Eukaryotic large subunit ribosomal RNA", at positions 86 to 842 of the family's 3401-position model. Lineage: Eukaryota; Fungi; Ascomycota; Dothideomycetes; Myriangiales; Elsinoaceae. The record is from RNAcentral.